AUGGCCCCCGUAGCCCCCGCCGCUUCCCCCGCCGCCGCCCCUCCCCCUCCCCCUCCCAGCCCGGCCGGGGAUGAAGGCCCUGACCCGGAUCCCGACCCGCGCCCCUCUCCGGCGGUCGCUCUUUUCGCCCCUGCUNNNNNNNNUCCGGCCCCUGCGGCUCCGACCCCGGCCGCCCCGGACCUGGCCGCUGCGGCCCCUGCGGCUCCGACCCCGGCGCCCGCCGCUCUGGCCCCGGCCGCCCCGGCUUGGGUGGAGGUUGGGAGACGGCGCCGCCCGAGCCUGGAGAAGGUGGCUGCUCCCCCUCCCAGGAAGGAUGCUGGACUGCCUCGCACUUUCAAGCAGAGGACUUUCGGCCUCUGCUUUCGGUGCUUGGCGUCGGACCACUACAUCGCGGGCUGCCGCGGCCCUGUCCGGUGCUUGGGAUGUGGCCACUCCGGCCAUCGCGAGCGGGAGUGCUUGGCACGGCAUCCUGCCGACAGCCCUGCGACUGAUGGUGUCGUGCCGGCGGCUGACCCCGGCGUGCCCCCUACUGUUUUUGAGCCAUUGCGGCCACUUCUUGCAGCUCAGGCGGAGGCGCUCGGCGCUGAGCUACAGGCCUUGUUCGCUGCUCGUCUUGAGGUGCUGUUCAAGCCUCUUCAAGACUUGGUUGCUGCUGUGGAGAGUUGGACUGCUCAAGUCUCAAGCCUAUGGGAACCUAUGGAAGCUAUCGGGGGCAGCCAAGACCUUGCCAAUGUUGAAUCUGCUCCUCCUGUUGUGGCCGUUGGAGAGGAUUACAGUGCGCUUGUUGUGGCUAGCUGCUCAGCUGAGUUGAGUGAGAAGGCUCAGUCCGUUGAUGAUUCGCCUGCCUUGGAAAAGGUCAUGCUCGAGGAUGAUCCUCCUGACUUGGCUUCUGUCCUACCCGGGAUGUCGACACUGGAGGAGCCGAAGGUCUCCAGUGCCCCUUGCACCGGGAUGCCUUCAAAGGGGCUGAUCCAGAUGGAUGCAGAUGAGCCUCUUGGGAGAGCUCCUCUCAAUGGGGGGAGUUCCUCGAAGAUCUUGCUCUCACUGUGUCCAGCUCGCCGCAAGUUUUGCAGGUGGGAGAGGCUGCCCCUUCUCUCUUAG
Molecule: ribosomal RNA, 1101 nt
Filed under: Triticum aestivum (bread wheat)
Lineage: Eukaryota; Viridiplantae; Streptophyta; Magnoliopsida; Poales; Poaceae
Description: partial small subunit ribosomal RNA
Source: RNAcentral